CCAAUGCUGAAGAUGCUGCUGCUUCUGCUGCUUCUGGAGCCCACAGGCUCUGGGCUUGGUGCUCAUGUCUCUCAACAUCCAAGGAGGGCCAUCUGUAAGAGUGGGACCUCUGUGAAGAUCGAGUGUCGCUCUGUGGAUUUCCAGUACACAACUGUGUUUUGGUACCGCCAGUUCCCGAAAGAGAGCUUCGUGCUCAUGGCAACUUCUAAUACAGGCUCUGAUGUCACCUGGGAGAAAGGUUUUGCCCAGGAAAAGUUUCCCAUCACUCACCCAAACCUCACCUUUGCAUCUCUGAUGCUGACGGGUACACUUUCUGAAGACAGCAGCUUCUACUUCUGUGGUGCCAGUGACACAGUGCUGGGUGGAAGUCAGAGACCUAGGCAAGAAGGCUUGCAGCAGCCUGCCCCGCCCACCCUCAGACCCAGGAGCCCUGUGGGAGGAGCCUGGGGAGAGAAAACCACAGCUUCUCUCAAUGAGACCUUUGGAAGUGUCAAGAGUGAGAGAAGACAGAAGAAACCUAUAGGGAAGUCUUCAGAUGACAUGGUUGACAGAUCUAGAAAGUUCUGUCAGAAUGUAGAAGAUAAGUGGAACACUGAUGGCAGGAGUUUGGAAAAAUCAUUUCUAAGAGAUGAUUUCUCCAUUGACAACAAAUCUGCAUGA
This is a non-coding RNA of Sciurus carolinensis (gray squirrel), 660 nucleotides long. NCBI's taxonomy places the organism in Eukaryota, Metazoa, Chordata, Mammalia, Rodentia, Sciuridae. The record is from the annotation of a RefSeq genome assembly.